This 279-nucleotide ribosomal RNA is filed under the name uncultured bacterium. RNAcentral describes it as "partial 16S ribosomal RNA". It matches the Rfam family "Bacterial small subunit ribosomal RNA", at positions 506 to 784 of the family's 1533-position model. The record is from RNAcentral.
UGCCAGCCGCCGCGGUAAUACGGGGGAUGCAAGCGUUAUUCGGAAUCAUUGGGCGUAAAGGGCACGCAGGCGGUCUUGUCAGUCAGAUGUGAAAGCCCGGGGCUCAACCUCGGACGUGCAUUUGAAACAGCAAGACUUGAGUACGGUAGAGGAAAGCGGAAUUCCUGGUGUAGAGGUGAAAUUCGUAGAUAUCAGGAGGAACACCAGAGGCGAAGGCGGUCUCUUGGUCCGAAACUGACGCUGAGGCGCGAAAGCGUGGGGAGCAAACAGGAUUAGAUA